AGUCGAGGGGCAGCACAAAGGUAGCAAUACUUUGGUGGCGACCGGCGCACGGGUGAGUAACACGUAUGCAACCUACCUGUAAGCGGGGAAUAACCCGGAGAAAUUCGGACUAAUACCGCAUAAUACCGCGAAUCUGCAUGGAUUUGCGUUUAAACAUUUAUGGCUUACAGAUGGGCAUGCGUAUGAUUAGCUAGUUGGUGAGGUAACGGCUCACCAAGGCAACGAUCAUUAGGGGUUCUGAGAGGAAGGUCCCCCACACUGGUACUGAGACACGGACCAGACUCCUACGGGAGGCAGCAGUGAGGAAUAUUGGUCAAUGGGCGAGAGCCUGAACCAGCCAAGUCGCGUGAAGGAAGAAGGUUCUAUGGAUUGUAAACUUCUUUUGUAAGGGAAUAAAAUGCAGUACGUGUACUGUUUUGUAUGUACUUUACGAAUAAGGAUCGGCUAACUCCGUGCCAGCAGCCGCGGUAAUACGGAGGAUCCAAGCGUUAUCCGGAUUUAUUGGGUUUAAAGGGUGCGUAGGCGGACCUUUAAGUCAGUGGUGAAAGUUUGCAGCUUAACUGUAAAAUUGCCAUUGAAACUGAGGGUCUUGAGUGUAAAUGAGGUAGGCGGAAUGUGUUGUGUAGCGGUGAAAUGCUUAGAUAUAACACAGAACACCAAUUGCGAAGGCAGCUUACUAGGAUACAACUGACGCUGAGCACGAAAGCGUGGGGAUCAAACAGGAUUAGAUACCCUGGUAGUCCACGCAGUAAACGAUGAAUACUAACUGUAUGCGAUAUACUGUAUGUGGUAAAGCGAAAGCGUUAAGUAUUCCACCUGGGGAGUACGUUCGCAAGAUGAAACUCA
RNAcentral lists this ribosomal RNA (846 nucleotides) under uncultured bacterium. RNAcentral's name for it is "bacterial SSU rRNA". It matches the Rfam family "Bacterial small subunit ribosomal RNA", at positions 60 to 903 of the family's 1533-position model. The record is from RNAcentral.